UAGGUUUGACAUUGUGUUCAUCAUUAUAUUACUUAUUAACUAAACAUAGUUAAUUACAGUAUGGUGCAAAAUGCACGACAAAUGGAAUACGAUGAAAAGAAAAAAGUAAAAGAAGAAGAUCAUAAGAUGUGGCUGUAAAUAUGUCUAUAAUAUUUGAGGUCCGAGACAAGAUCAAAAGACUUGUGCUUUUCAUUAAAAGUUGAAGAAUAAUGUACACAAUGUCCAAGACACUUGUCGAAUAUUUACCUGCAGCAAAGAGUUUUUUUUUUGUUUUGGGUCAAAGAGAAACUAGUUAAUUGGAGUGCUUAGCAAGGGUCAUUACAUAGAGUAGACGAGUAGUAUAGGGUUAUAAUGGAAUAAAUAUGAUAUUGAGUUCGAACUGGAAUGAAAAAUCAUGAUAGCUUUCAGUAUUACUCAUUUUCUUCUAGUUUAAUCAUUUGAUGAAACUCACUAUAUUUUUCUACCAAUAAUUUAAGUAAUUUCAGGGCUUGAAACUUGAGACUUACAAAAAUGAAUGGAUUCUAUCCAUCUCUCUAUAUCCCGUAAUGGUAUUAUUGUGUAUGUAUAAAAUAUUAAUUAGAAUAUAAUAACUUAUAAGAAUUAAAACUUCAAAUCCAUAUAUCUCAAACUCCGAUUUUGUCUUUAAUUUGAUCAUUAAGGCAUGGCAACAAGUUGACAAGAAGCGUUGAUGAGCAUAAAAUCUCAGUGAAUCCACUAGCAUUAAUAUAUAUAUAUAUAUAUAUAUAUUAAUGCUCUGAGUAUGUGACUAUAGUUGUGAGAUCAAGAGGAAAAUUGUUUGACCUAUAACAGCAAAUUCUAUGAAUUUUAAAAUUUUUAGGAUAAUGAAAUCAGCACGAUCUGAAACCAAAAGGACCGUCAUCACAUGGUAGAAUAUAUACUACAUAUAUUAAACUCAAUAUGAACUUACUGGAAUUGCAACGGUCGAUAGCAUAUAUAUCUCCAACUCCAAGCCUCUAGUGCUCAUUCUCACUAAAGAAUAUAAGGCACAAACGAAAUAUAUAAAUGCUAAAAUAAUAUAGAUAGGGAAAGUUUUACAUACUAUAUACGUAUAUCAAACUACGGUUUUGUAUGUAACUAGGAUACUAAGGCCUAACCUUCCACCAGAAUGGUGGCUUUUGAUUUAUUUAAAACAAAAAAAAAAAGGCUUAACGUACUUAGGGUUUUAGAUACUAAUUAGAGCUAGGAUUUUCGUAUAUAUAUAUAUAUAUAUAUAUAU
This 1237-nucleotide long non-coding RNA is filed under the name Nicotiana tabacum (common tobacco). RNAcentral's name for it is "long non-coding RNA (NTAB_LNC016948)". The record is from RNAcentral. Lineage: Eukaryota; Viridiplantae; Streptophyta; Magnoliopsida; Solanales; Solanaceae.